GUCGUUGCAAAAGAAAUCCUGCUCAGUACGAGAGGAACCGCAGGUUCGGACAAAUGGUACAUGUGCCUGCUCGACCGAGCAAUGCCACGACGCUAUCGUCCGAGGGAUUAUGACUGAACGCUUUAAGUCAGAAUCCCGUCAUUAUACGGUAACGAU
Ribosomal RNA from Tetranychus urticae (two-spotted spider mite), 156 nucleotides. It matches the Rfam family "Eukaryotic large subunit ribosomal RNA", at positions 3007 to 3161 of the family's 3401-position model. NCBI's taxonomy places the organism in Eukaryota, Metazoa, Arthropoda, Arachnida, Trombidiformes, Tetranychidae. The record is from Rfam.